GGCGGUCAAAAUCAGCGCCUUCACGUGGCGACCGCCGUGAGUAACCAAAAAUUUGGCGAAACUAAGCUGAA
This 71-nucleotide non-coding RNA is filed under the name unclassified sequences. The record is from RNAcentral.